UGGUGCGUUUGAAUUUCUAAUAUGAUCUUGUUAGUAAAUUAAUAUUAUCUCAUACAAAUUCGAUGGGUUCUGAUUUACAUGAUGUUGUGGUGUUUAUUUUUGUUUGAGAAGAAGAGUCACCAGUUCAACCAAAGUUCCUUGAAAUUUUUGGUUGUUCUGGGUUAAGCCGUCUUCUGUGUUCUUCCAUACACGGUACACGUUCCACGGCUACGCAAUUU
RNAcentral lists this long non-coding RNA (218 nucleotides) under Salvia miltiorrhiza (redroot sage). RNAcentral describes it as "long non-coding RNA (SMIL_LNC002191)". Lineage: Eukaryota; Viridiplantae; Streptophyta; Magnoliopsida; Lamiales; Lamiaceae. The record is from RNAcentral.